This 257-nucleotide ribosomal RNA is filed under the name uncultured bacterium. RNAcentral describes it as "partial 16S ribosomal RNA". It matches the Rfam family "Bacterial small subunit ribosomal RNA", at positions 793 to 1055 of the family's 1533-position model. The record is from RNAcentral.
GUCCACGCUGUAACGAUGUCUACUAGCCGUUGGAGACUUGAUUUCUUAGUGGCGCAGCUAACGCUUUAAGUAGACCGCCUGGGAGUACGGCCGCAAGGUUAAACUCAAAUGAAUUGACGGGCCCGCACAAGCGGUGGAGCAUGUGGUUUAAUUCGAUGCAACGCGAAGAACCUUACCAGGUCUUGACAUCCUCGGAACUUGGCAGAGAUGCCUUGGUGCCUUCGGGAACCGAGAGACAGGUGCUGCAUGGCUGUCGU